UUAAGUUCAGCGGGUAUCCCUACCUGAUCCGAGGUCAACCUUUGAUAAAUUUAGGGGUUCUGGCAGUCAGACACUCAAACUCCAAGGCGAGAAGAUUUACUACGCUAGAAGCUGAAUGCCACCGCCAAUACUUUUGAGAUGCACCACAGUGGUGGCAUCCAAUACCAAGCAAUGCUUGAGGGUUGCAAUGACGCUCGAAC
Molecule: unclassified non-coding RNA, 200 nt
Filed under: Helotiales sp.
Lineage: Eukaryota; Fungi; Ascomycota; Leotiomycetes; Helotiales
Description: partial internal transcribed spacer 2
Source: RNAcentral